Canis lupus familiaris (dog) is the source of this 107-nucleotide non-coding RNA. The record is from Rfam. NCBI's taxonomy places the organism in Eukaryota, Metazoa, Chordata, Mammalia, Carnivora, Canidae.
GUGCUCAUUUUGGCAGCACAUAUACUAAAAUUGGAAUGAUAUAGAGAAGACUAGCAUGGCUCCUGCACAAGGAUGACAUGCAAAUUCAUGAAAAGGAGGAACAAAGU